UAUUUCUCACUGUUUCAGUAA
This 21-nucleotide non-coding RNA is filed under the name Caenorhabditis elegans. Lineage: Eukaryota; Metazoa; Nematoda; Chromadorea; Rhabditida; Rhabditidae. The record is from RNAcentral.